This 483-nucleotide ribosomal RNA is filed under the name uncultured bacterium. Its description in RNAcentral is "bacterial SSU rRNA". It matches the Rfam family "Bacterial small subunit ribosomal RNA", at positions 116 to 615 of the family's 1533-position model. The record is from RNAcentral.
CGUGAGGAACCUGCCUCAAAGAGGGGGACAACAGUUGGAAACGACUGCUAAUACCGCAUAAGCCCACAGCUCGGCAUCGAGCAGAGGGAAAAGGAGUAAUCCGCUUUGAGAUGGCCUCGCGUCCGAUUAGCUAGUUGGUGAGGUAAUGGCCCACCAAGGCGACGAUCGGUAGCCGGACUGAGAGGUUGAACGGCCACAUUGGGACUGAGACACGGCCCAGACUCCUAUGGGAGGCAGCAGUGGGGAAUAUUGCACAAUGGGGGAAACCCUGAUGCAGCGACGCCGCGUGGAGGAAGAAGGUCUUCGGAUUGUAAACUCCUGUUGUUGAGGAAGAUAAUGACGGUACUCAACAAGGAAGUGACGGCUAACUACGUGCCAGCAGCCGCGGUAAAACGUAGGUCACAAGCGUUGUCCGGAAUUACUGGGUGUAAAGGGAGCGCAGGCGGGAGAACAAGUUGGAAGUGAAAUCCAUGGGCUCAACCC